This 826-nucleotide long non-coding RNA is filed under the name Homo sapiens (human). Its description in RNAcentral is "HSALNT0191779". Lineage: Eukaryota; Metazoa; Chordata; Mammalia; Primates; Hominidae. The record is from RNAcentral.
GUGACGGUGCGCGGAGGCGGUGGUGGAGUUGCUUCCCCUGCUAGGCGGGCUCGAACCGGGCGGGAGUCACUGUCCACCUUGCUUCGCCAGGGUGUUAUCGCCAGCCAGUCCCCUUCCGCAUGCCCAAGGGCAGCCUCAGGAAGCGAGCCCACCACCGUCGGCCCAGCGCCUGUUGAUCGGCCAGGCCUUCUGGGCCGGUCAUACUGGGCCCUUCCUAACCUGAGGAGAUUGCACAGUAGGGCUCCCUGGUCUGGUCAGGGCUCAGUUAGGACCCCUCUCCAGCCUUAGGCUUGGUGAAAGCUUUAGCGAAACAGAAAAAAGAACGCAUCGUGGUGUAGAGUGUAUGGCCUAAGAAGCAUUCGCUCCACUCAAAAAAAAGAAAGUCCUAAUGCAAGUAAUUGAAAGUGAAGAUAUUGCAAAACAAAUAAUGACAGCUGAAUUGAUGAUAUGAUGACAGGCUCAUCCCUCCAUUGUAAACUAUGGUUUACAUGACACCAGAGAAUUCAUGCUGGAAAGAAGAGAGAAGGAAUUCUCUAGAUGUGCCUUGAAAAAUUUCUUUGAAGUGCCUGUGUAUGAACCAGGAAUUUCACUAUCAUUUUUAGAGUCUUCUGAAGGCUAAUGGAUUUGGUAACACACUCCCUUUUCUGUACGGCUUCUGAAAAUAUUGUUCAGCUGUAUGUGGUGUCUCACAUCUGUAAUCCCAGCAAUUUGGCAGGCCAAGGCAAGAGGACUGCUUGAAGCCAAGAGCUCAAGACCAGCCUGGGCAACAUAGUGAGACCCUGCCUCUACAAAAAUAAAUAAAUAAAAUUUUUUGAAAAAUGAAAAU